GAUGAAGAACGUAGCGAAAUGCGAUACGUAAUGUGAAUUGCAAAUUCAGUGAAUCAUCGAGUCUUUGAACGCACAUUGCGCCCCCUGGUAUUCUGGCGGGCAUGCCUGUUCGAGCGUCAUUACAACCCUCAGGCCCCCGGGCCUGGCGUUGGGGAUCGGCGGAGCCCCCCGUGGGCACACGCCGUCCCCCAAAUGCAGUGGCGGUCCCGCCGCAGCUUCCAUCGCGUAGUAGCUAACACCUCGCGACUGGAGAGCGGCGCGGCCACGCCGUAAAACACCCAACUCUUCUGAAGUUGACCUCGAAUCAGGUAGGAAUACCCGCUGAACUUAAGCAUAUCAAUAAGCGGAGGA
This 351-nucleotide unclassified non-coding RNA is filed under the name soil metagenome. RNAcentral describes it as "partial contains 5.8S ribosomal RNA, internal transcribed spacer 2, and large subunit ribosomal RNA". The stretch from base 1 to 119 matches the Rfam family "5.8S ribosomal RNA", at positions 35 to 154 of the family's 154-position model. The record is from RNAcentral.